UUGACGGAAGGGCACCACCAGGAGUGGAGCCUGCGGCUUAAUUUGACUCAACACGGGGAAACUCACCCGGCCCGGACACCGCGAGGAUUGACAGACCGACAGCUCUUUCAUGAUUCGGUGGAUGGUGGUGCAUGGCCGUUCUUAGUUCGUGGAGCGAUUUGUCUGGUUUAUUCCGAUAACGAGCGAGACUCCAGCCUGCUAAAUAGUCCCUCUAUCUGUAUGUGGAGGCCGACUUCUUAGAGGGAUCAUCGGCGCUCAGCCGCACGACACGGAGCAAUAACAGGUCUGUGAUGCCCUUAGAUGUCCGGGGCUGCACGCGCGCUACACUGGCGAAGGCAGCGUGCCUGUCCUCUCCCGACGGGGACGGGUAAACCAUUGAAAAUUCGCCGUGAUUGGGAUCGGAGAUUGCAAUUAUUCUCCGUGAACGAGGAAUUCCAAGUAAGUGCGAGUCAUCAACUCGCGUUGAUUACGUCCCUGCCCUUUGUAA
This 487-nucleotide ribosomal RNA is filed under the name Filenchus sp. MHb29. Its description in RNAcentral is "SSU rRNA". It matches the Rfam family "Eukaryotic small subunit ribosomal RNA", at positions 1156 to 1664 of the family's 1831-position model. The record is from RNAcentral. Lineage: Eukaryota; Metazoa; Nematoda; Chromadorea; Rhabditida; Tylenchidae.